ACGCACGCUGGCGGCGUGCUUAACACAUGCCAGUCGCACGCUGAAGCUCAGCUUGCUGGGUGGAUGAGUGGCGAACGGGUGAGUAACACGUGAGUAACCUGCCCUCUUCUUUGGGAUAACGCCCGGAAACGGGUGCUAAUACUGGAUAUUCACUGAUUCUCGCAUGGGGGUUGGUGGAAAGGUUUUUUCUGGUGGGGGAUGGGCUCGCGGCCUAUCAGCUUGUUGGUGGGGUGAUGGCCUACCAAGGCUUUGACGGGUAGCCGGCCUGAGAGGGUGACCGGUCACAUUGGGACUGAGAUACGGCCCAGACUCCUACGGGAGGCAGCAGUGGGGAAUAUUGCACAAUGGGCGAAAGCCUGAUGCAGCGACGCCGCGUGAGGGAUGGAGGCCUUCGGGUUGUAAACCUCUUUCGCUCAUGGUCAAGCCGCAGCUUUGGGUUGUGGUGAGGGUAGUGGGUAAAGAAGCGCCGGCUAACUACGUG
This 481-nucleotide ribosomal RNA is filed under the name uncultured bacterium. RNAcentral describes it as "partial 16S ribosomal RNA". It matches the Rfam family "Bacterial small subunit ribosomal RNA", at positions 29 to 507 of the family's 1533-position model. The record is from RNAcentral.